Molecule: ribosomal RNA, 442 nt
Filed under: uncultured bacterium
Lineage: Bacteria
Description: partial 16S ribosomal RNA
Rfam family: Bacterial small subunit ribosomal RNA
Source: RNAcentral
CCUACGGGAGGCAGCAGUAGGGAAUCUUUCACAAUGGGCGAAAGCCUGAUGGAGCAACGCCGCGUGCAGGAUGAAGGCCUUCGGGUUGUAAACUGCUUUUAUAAGCGAGAAAUAUGAUGGUAACUUAUGAAUAAGGAUCGGCUAACUACGUGCCAGCAGCCGCGGUCAUACGUAGGAUCCGAGCAUUAUCCGGAGUGACUGGGUGUAAAGAGUUGCGUAGGUGGGCUAAUAAGUAGCUAGUGAAAUCUGGUGGCUCAACCAUUCAGACUAUUAGCUAAACUGUUAAGCUCGAGACCGUUAGGGGUAACUGGAAUUUCUAGUGUAGGAGUGAAAUCCGUAGAUAUUAGAAGGAACACCAAUAGCGUAGGCAGGUUGCUGGGACGGUUCUGACACUAAGGCACGAAAGCGUAGGGAGCAAACGGGAUUAGAUACCCGGGUAGUC